UGAAGCCUGAAGCUCAGGAAAGAAGCAGGCAGAGAGUUUCCAGCACCAGAGCUCUCUUCAGAUCCUCUGCCCGGCCCAGCCAUAGUAAUGGAGAACCAUCACUGCUUCCAAGAUCUGGCCUUUGAACAUAUAUAACCUUUUGAAAUAUGACCUGUUGAAAAUGAAGAUGAAUGGCACAAAGGUUCGCCCGGCUACAGCUUAUGUGCAGAGUCAGCCAUCCUAGGGAGACUCCCAGUUAUCUUUGACAUUCCGCCUGAUGGCAUUUGGAAGCAGCAACUCACUGCCAAUAUAAAUCUCAAGCUUUCUUGCUUAAGAAAAUGUGUGUUUUAUUAUUAGAGCAAAAUGCCCCACUAGAGGAAAUUUAGCACCAGCAAGAACAAUGCAUAUUGCCCGGGUACACAAAAAAAUCCUGGAGCAGCAUGCGUAAAAUGCUGCCAACAGUCCGACUUCAACAAACCACAUGAAGAUAAAAUUAGCAAUGAUCUACAUACUUGUAUGAUGCAUCAAAAGUCAGCUAUCAUCACAAAACAGCUGGAGCAAUGUGUGGCUAAGAACUUCAGCAGAUAACUACAGUCUUGCUUAGAGCAGGAUUUUCCAAAAAUACUAACUGAAUCACAAGCUCAUGGUCAGGAUAUUAAACGGAAAAGAAGUAUGAAAAUAAAAGAUACAAAUCUCA
Molecule: long non-coding RNA, 676 nt
Organism: Hemicordylus capensis (graceful crag lizard)
Lineage: Eukaryota; Metazoa; Chordata; Lepidosauria; Squamata; Cordylidae
Exons: 5
Source: RefSeq, a predicted model, not a curated record